Molecule: unclassified non-coding RNA, 482 nt
Filed under: Hevea brasiliensis (rubber tree)
Lineage: Eukaryota; Viridiplantae; Streptophyta; Magnoliopsida; Malpighiales; Euphorbiaceae
Source: RNAcentral
AAAACAACCAUCCUCAAUUAACCGAGACUGUAGGAGCCUGAAAAAGGAGAGUUGCUCACAACUACAGGAAUGUUACCUUCAGAGCUAUAGUGUCAAGCAAGAAAGGGAAGGGCCAAGGAGUCAAAAUCGCCUCACCAAUAAAAGCCUAAACCCAACUAUUAUCAGACCUUAAGAACACAACCAACGAAGCACAAUAGAGGCCAAAACAGAGGUGAUAAUAGGCAAAGGACCAAGGAAUCUUAGUUUCAUGUAGCCUUGGGUCAGCCAAAGGCAUGUCAAGCUAGCAAACCCAUCUACGUUCAUCACUGUCUCACCAAGCCAAUAUGUAGGUCUUCCAAUUGCUCUCACCAAAUCCUCCAAACCUGCAAACUCAAACACAACCCAAAAACCUUUGUACACCCAACCUAGAUGAGGGAGAGCUAACCCCAAACUAAGCCAGAGAAAAAAAAUGACUUUCGGGUAGGGGAAGCAAAUGAGAGGUA